RNAcentral lists this ribosomal RNA (279 nucleotides) under uncultured Oscillospiraceae bacterium. Its description in RNAcentral is "partial 16S ribosomal RNA". It matches the Rfam family "Bacterial small subunit ribosomal RNA", at positions 65 to 339 of the family's 1533-position model. Lineage: Bacteria; Bacillati; Bacillota; Clostridia; Eubacteriales; Oscillospiraceae. The record is from RNAcentral.
AACGAGCCGAGGGGAGCUUGCUCCCCAGAGCUAGUGGCGGACGGGUGAGUAACACGUGAGCAACCUGCCUUUCAGAGGGGGAUAACGUUUGGAAACGAACGCUAAUACCGCAUAACAUACCGGGACCGCAUGAUUCUGGUAUCAAAGGAGCAAUCCGCUGAAAGAUGGGCUCGCGUCCGAUUAGCUAGUUGGCGGGGUAACGGCCCACCAAGGCGACGAUCGGUAGCCGGACUGAGAGGUUGAUCGGCCACAUUGGGACUGAGACACGGCCCAGACUCC